UUCCUAUCAACUACUAACUGGUAAUAAUCUAGAAACAACUCUGUGAAGCCAACAAGACUGUGCCUGAGAGGAAAGCAGUGUUACAGAGAUAUCAUCAUCAAAAUGGCAACCAGUUCCAUGCACAGACAGAAACCACAAAAAACAGGAGUUGCCUACAAUUCCCUCCCACUUUCUGCCUGUUGACCAGCUCUGGCUUCAGCAUCUCUGAUCAAGGACUGAGGAAGGCCCGGCUGUGGCUUACAGCUGAGUCACACCUCUCCAGUAAAUCCUGAGGAGAGUAUGUCAAACCACCGGAAGACCUCAGUCAUGUGGAUUUUCCGGUUCACUCAUGGCAACAGAUUACUUAUUCAGUGUCUACAAAAUGCUGGGAUCUGCUUGCUCUUUCUUCUUUGGAUGUUGCAGUGAGUAAGACAAAAGUUCUCUUCCUCAAGAAGCUUAAAAUCUAGUGGAAAAAAGAGAUAAAAAUGAAUAAUUAUAUCAUAUAUUGACGUUUGCCAAGGAUUAAUUUAAGCAAAUAAAAAGAGGAAUGGAGUUCUUGGGUAAGAUAUUAUUUUAUGUUGAAAAGUCAGUGAAGGCAUUAAUGAGAAGGUGACAUUUGAUCAGAAUCCUGAGUGAAGUAAGUACUCAAAGUAGAAGGAAGAGCAAUUUCAAUGAGCUUGAUGUGGAAGGAUAUUUGGUGUAGCAGAGAAACCACAAGGUGUCCAGUGGGGCUGGAGUGAAGCAAGUGUUGGGGGAAAGUAAUAGAAAAUGAAGUCCAAAAGAUAGUAAGAGCAGAUAUCCAAG
Molecule: long non-coding RNA, 783 nt
Filed under: Callithrix jacchus (white-tufted-ear marmoset)
Lineage: Eukaryota; Metazoa; Chordata; Mammalia; Primates; Cebidae
Description: lncRNA (ENSCJAG00000084019.1)
Source: RNAcentral